AGUCGUAACAAGGUCUCCGUUGGUGAACCAGCGGAGGGAUCAUUACCGAGUUUACAACUCCCAAACCCCUGUGAACAUACCACUUGUUGCCUCGGCGGAUCAGCCCGCUCCCGGUAAAACGGGACUGCCCGCCAGAGGACCCCUAAACUCUGUUUCUAUAUGUAACUUCUGAGUAAAACCAUAAAUAAAUCAAAACUUUCAACAACGGAUCUCUUGGUUCUGGCAUCGAUGAAGAACGCAGCAAAAUGCGAUAAGUAAUGUGAAUUGCAGAAUUCAGUGAAUCAUCGAAUCUUUGAACGCACAUUGCGCCCGCCAGUAUUCUGGCGGGCAUGCCUGUUCGAGCGUCAUUUCAACCCUCAAGCACAGCUUGGUGUUGGGACUCGCGUUAAUUCGCGUUCCCCAAAUUGAUUGGCGGUCACGUCGAGCUUCCAUAGCGUAGUAGUAAAACCCUCGUUACUGGUAAUCGUCGCGGCCACGCCGUUAAACCCCAACUUCUGAAUGUUGACCUCGGAUCAGGUAGGAAUACCCGCUGAACUUAAGCAUAUCAAUAAAAAGUCG
This 558-nucleotide ribosomal RNA is filed under the name uncultured fungus. Its description in RNAcentral is "eukaryotic LSU rRNA". The stretch from base 194 to 347 matches the Rfam family "5.8S ribosomal RNA". The record is from RNAcentral. Lineage: Eukaryota; Fungi.